AGCGAACGCUGGCGGCAGGCUUAACACAUGCAAGUCGAGCGGGCACUUUCGGGUGUCAGCGGCGGACGGGUGAGUAACGCGUGGGAACGUGCCCUCUGGUUCGGAAUAACUCAGGGAAACUUGAGCUAAUACCGGAUACGCCCUUUUGGGGAAAGGCUUGCUGCCGGAGGAUCGGCCCGCGUCUGAUUAGCUAGUUGGUGAGGUAACGGCUCACCAAGGCGACGAUCAGUAGCUGGUCUGAGAGGAUGAUCAGCCACACUGGGACUGAGACACGGCCCAGACUCCUACGGGAGGCAGCAGUGGGGAAUAUUGGACAAUGGGCGCGAGCCUGAUCCAGCCAUGCCGCGUGAGUGAUCAAGGCCUUAGGGUUGUAAAGCUCUUUUAUCCGGGACGAUAAUGACGGUACCGGAGGAAUAAGCCCCGGCUAACUUCGUG
RNAcentral lists this ribosomal RNA (435 nucleotides) under uncultured bacterium. Its description in RNAcentral is "partial 16S ribosomal RNA". It matches the Rfam family "Bacterial small subunit ribosomal RNA", at positions 29 to 507 of the family's 1533-position model. The record is from RNAcentral.